GUUUUUGAUGAAGUUAAAGUCCAAUCGACUUCAAACUUGGUACACAUGUUCCUUAUGAUAUGAUCUUUCUAAUUUUAAUACCAAAUUAGAGAUUUUACCCCAAUUUCUUGUCCACUAAUAGAAAAUGAUAGUGUGAGUGGGGCAUUCGUGUACUAUGGACACAUUCUUGUUUACAGUGUUUUAGAGAUUCAUUGGAGUUUGUGUAUGAAAUUUUAAAGAUCUAAAGCAUGUCAAAUAAAUUUUCUAUAAUCUGUUAGUUGAUAUUAUGUACAUUAAGAAGUUUAGUGCUAGCUAGUCUAUGUUUAGAUAUGUAUUCAUUGCAAUCCAGAAAAUAACCUUGCUCACAUAUGUUUAUGUCGUAAUUCUUUCAUGUUAAUUUGUAUAUACAGUUUGUUUAAUUUUUUGUUAUUGGGAAAAAAAAUUUGAUUAUGAACUGGGUGCCUGAAAAUCUUUUUCAUACUUAUUGUGUUUUGCAUGUAAGGGUAGCGAAAUUAAAAUAGAUAUUAUCUGUGAUAUUUAAUGUUUUUUGUAUGUUUUAUUUAUUUGUUUCCUGUUUUUAUAAUGUUUCUCAUGACAAAAUGUUUUGUACUAACUAACUGAUAAACUUUCUUAUUGUUCUAAUCAAGGAAAAAAAUCAAAUCUUUUGAAGUCUUGGUGGCUGCAAUAUCUCUUUUGUAUGUUAUUAUAUCUUUAUGUUUUAAUUCUUGUUUAAUGAUAGGAGAAUUAAGUUGGAAUGCUUUUGAAAUAACUUAUUAUAAGAAAAGGACAAAUCAAAUUGUCUCGAAGGAUUUUAGUGUUGCCUCAUAUUAAUGAUUAUGUGUUUGUUUUGUGGGUUGUUGUCUCAUCGAUGUGUACCCCAUUUAUCUUUUUAUCUAUAGGAUAAAAGAAUUUAAGAAAUUGUGAAACAUUUUUUUCUAGUAAGACCAUACAUUAAUUAUAAAAUUCAUAUAAGUUCAUUUCAUUUUAAGGACAUUGUUAUAAAUAUCUUAAGCUUGUUGAGUGCAAAUAAAGACCGACUUUAUUCAUAAUAUCUCAGAACUAGCUUUAACAUGUUUGAUGUGUAUUACUUUCAGCAGAAAUUUUUAAAUAUUGGAUCUGAAUGAUAAUAUUGCAUACUGUAAACCAAAAAUAUCUUUUGCCACUUCAGGAAUAGAUAAAUAAGGCAACUAUGAAUCAUCACUAAAUUGACUAACUUAGAUUUGCAAAAUUCAAAAAUAAAGUAAGAAAAUAAUUGUAUUUUUGCUCUCCCUUUAUCUACCAGUUAGUUUAGGAUCUAAAAGUUAUUUAAAGUAUUCUUUGCAUAUUAAUAAACAUAUCUAUUUUGAUAAAUUCUAUAUUUACAUGAUAAUAUAUAUAGAACUAGCUUCAAUAAAUCAUAUACUACAGGUAGAGGGUGACUUCCCUCAUGAAAUAUUAGAACUACAUUAUAUUUUCAUACUUGCACACAAAAUAUGUACAAAUCAAAGAAUAUUUCAUUUUAUAUGUAACUGUAACAGUAACAUGUCUCAUUGUGUAAAGUAGAUUGGUAUGAGAUGGAGAGAACAUUCCAGAAAUAAAAGUAG
RNAcentral lists this long non-coding RNA (1562 nucleotides) under Mytilus galloprovincialis (Mediterranean mussel). The record is from RNAcentral. Lineage: Eukaryota; Metazoa; Mollusca; Bivalvia; Mytilida; Mytilidae.